GAUGAACGCUGGCGGCGUGCCUAAUACAUGCAAGUCGAGCGAACAGACGAGGAGCUUGCUCCUCUGACGUUAGCGGCGGACGGGUGAGUAACACGUGGAUAACCUACCUAUAAGACUGGGAUAACUUCGGGAAACCGGAGCUAAUACCGGAUAAUAUAUUGAACCGCAUGGUUCAAUAGUGAAAGACGGUGUUUCUGUCACGUAUAGAUGGUUCCGCGCCGCAUUAGCUAGUUGGUAAGGUAACGGCUUACCAAGGCGACGAUGCGUAGCCGACCUGAGAGGGUGAUCGGCCACACUGGAACUGAGACACGGUCCAGACUCCUACGGGAGGCAGCAGUCGGGAAUCUUCCGCAAUGGGCGAAAGCCUGACGGAGCAACGCCGCGUGAGUGAUGAAGGUCUUCGGAUCGUAAAACUCUGUUAUUAGGGAAGAACAAAUGUGUAAGUAACUAUGCACGUCUUGACGGUACCUAAUCAGAAAGCCACGGCUAACUACGUG
RNAcentral lists this ribosomal RNA (497 nucleotides) under uncultured bacterium. Its description in RNAcentral is "partial 16S ribosomal RNA". It matches the Rfam family "Bacterial small subunit ribosomal RNA", at positions 28 to 507 of the family's 1533-position model. The record is from RNAcentral.